This 217-nucleotide ribosomal RNA is filed under the name uncultured prokaryote. RNAcentral's name for it is "partial 16S ribosomal RNA". It matches the Rfam family "Bacterial small subunit ribosomal RNA", at positions 524 to 740 of the family's 1533-position model. The record is from RNAcentral.
UACAGAGGGUGCGAGCGUUGUCCGGAAUCACUGGGCGUAAAGGGCGCGUAGGCGGCUCGGUAAGGUUGCGGUGAAAGCCCGGGGCUCAACCCCGGGUCGGCCGUGGCAACUGCUGAGCUGGAGCACUGUAGAGGCAGGUGGAAUUCCGGGUGUAGCGGUGGAAUGCGCAGAUAUCAGGAGGAACACCGGUGGCGAAGGCGGGUCUCUGGGCCGUUAC